AAAAUCAUCACUGCACCCAAAAUCAGCACACUUUAUUUCUCAUUUAUCCCUCUGUUGGCGAUUACACAAGUACAGAAACGGCUUGGGGAAAGAAACUCAAUACAGAGAUGUCUCACUAGACUCGGCAAGAACAAAGAUACUUUCAGGUUGCAUAACGAAACUGGCUCCAACCCCGAUGAUCAUUCGCAGAGACGCAUUCACUCAGACGGAGAUCUCGAUGGCCUUCACCUCGGGCUUCUUGACCUCGGCCUUGGGCACGGUGACGGUGAGCACGCCGUUCUCCAGCCCGGCCUUCACCUCCCCCACCUUGGCGUCCUCCGGCAGCCGGAACCGCCUGACGAACUUGCCGCUGCUGCGCUCCACGCGGUGCCACUUGUCGUUCUUGUCCUCCUCCUCCUUUGUGCGCUCGCCGCUGACGACGAGCACGUUGCCGUCCUCCACCUCCACCUUGACCUCCUCUUUCUUCACGCCUGGGAGGUCGGCCUUGAAGACGUGCGCCUCAGGCGUCUCCUUCCAGUCCACGCGAGCAUUGGCGAACGCGGCCGUCUCGCUGCUGCCGCCUGAGAUCGCCGGGACGAUGGAGCGGAAGGUGUCGAAGGGGUCCGCCCAGAGGUCGGCGAAGGGGUCGAACACGUUGCUCCGCCGCACGAUCGACAUUGCCGGUGUUGCUUGCUUUGACUCUUGCGCUAGGAAAAUUCUGUAUUGGAUCGUAGGUAGGUUGGGGUUGCUGUCUGCUUUUGGUUGACACUGGCUUGAGUUGGGAUGGAGGGGGAUGGGAGGCCAUGUACUUAUAGCAUCGCCGGGUGAUGCUCCUGAAGCGUCUCGAGGUCUCUCCAGUCGACGAGAGUUCAGUAGUACUUUAUCACUUUCCAGCUGGGCCGUGAGCUUCCCUUUCUUUCUAUUUUCGGCCCAGGAAGAAACCACCAUGUUCUAGAGCCUUCUCCUUUAUUUUGCUUUGUAGGCACACUCUGGAAUGUGAUGGGGUCUUUUCUAGAAGAAGACAUGGAGAACUCGAGACGCCUCAGGAAUGCACCGAGCAUACGGCUCGCACGGGAGCUGAGACCAACCGAGAAGAGCACCAAUCAAAGACCAAAUCAACAAUCCUAAUAAAACACUCACAGUCACUUGUCAGUGCACAUAUCCACCGUUCGACAGUUCACACACAGUGAGAGAAGACGACAGAAAUAAGCUCUGUUCGUUUGCUGCAGUUGUUGUGUGCAUGCUGCCGUCAUUUCUUUGAAGCUCCCAAGGAAUAGAGGCCUAGCAGGGCUCUGAACUUUUUUUCACUUACAAUGGACCCUGCAUGUAAAGGUCACAUCACGUCAUGGGUCCCGCAUAACAUUGUCGGAACAAACAUUCUAUUUAAACAUUUUAAUUAAAGCAGUCAAGAAUCCAUUUUUUUUGUGGAUUUUUGAAAAAUUUCACAUUUUUUUAAAAGCAUUCACGAAUUAACACAAUGUUUUCACAUUUUAAAAAAUAACAAUGAAUUCUACAAAAUUGUUCAUGAGAUUUAGAAUUGAUCAAGAUUUUUUAAAUGUUCAUUAAUUCUAAAUAAUGUUUGCGUUUGUGGCUGCAUGCAUCACCCAGAUGCAGAGGCCGGGGGUCUUCCUCCUUUUCAAAAAAAAAANNNNNNNNNNNNNNNNNNNNNNNNNNNNNNNNNNNNNNNNNNNNNNNNNNNNNNNNNNNNNNNNNNNNNNNNNNNNNNNNNNNNNNNNNNNNNNNNNNNNNNNNNNNNNNNNNNNNNNNNNNNNNNNNNNNNNNNNNNNNNNNNNNNNNNNNNNNNNNNNNNNNNNNNNNNNNNNNNNNNNNNNNNNNNNNNNNNNNNNNNNNNNNNNNNNNNNNNNNNNNNNNNNNNNNNNNNNNNNNNNNNNNNNNNNNNNNNNNNNNNNNNNNNNNNNNNNNNNNNNNNNNNNNNNNNNNNNNNNNNNNNNNNNNNNNNNNNNNNNNNNNNNNNNNNNNNNNNNNNNNNNNNNNNNNNNNNNNNNNNNNNNNNNNNNNNNNNNNNNNNNNNNNNNAUAUAUAUAUAUAUAUAUAUAUAUAUAUAUAUAUAUAUAUAUAUAUAUAUAUAUAUAUAUAUUAUUUCUUCCUGUGGUCCUGUCUUGUUUGAUUGGAUAGAAAUUUUGCUCCAAAAUAGGUUGCAAAUAUGAAUUUUAUGGAAUAUUCUCUAAGGGCAUCUUCAAAGCGGACCCUUAAACCCUUGCAAGCAUUUGGACUGCACUUUUUUUGGAUCCAGUUUGCCAUCCAACGCAGUCCCGCAUCAGUCCGCCGACACGUCCGGACGUUCGUUCUUCCGUAAAUUGGAACCAAACAAAGAGAGCUUUGCUGGAGUCCGGACAUCCAUCUGACCAAUCAAAAUCCACCAUGCACCAUCUCUACUCUGCUUCCGCCCAUGAUGGCUACCAUUUAGUGUAGUGACUUAUUCUAAUUGGAGCGGAUAGCUAGCAUUUUGAUGGAAUCGUAGUACUGCAUAGUAUAUUUGCAUUUGACGGAAGGUGCUAAUUAGUAUAUUCUUUAUUAUGCAAAUUAUGCAGUCAUUUGGUGAAAGGUGCUUUUUUUUUGUGCACUAGUUGCAGCGCCUGUUGGGGAUCGUAGCAGAAUUUUAAAAUUUCCUACGCAUCACCAAGAUCCAUCUAUGGAGUAUACUAGCAACGAGGGGAAAGGAGUGCAUCUACAUACCCUUGUAGAUCGCGAGCGGAAGCGUUCUAAUGAACGGGGUUGAUGGAGUCGUACUCGCCGUGAUCCAAAUCACCGAUGACCGAGUGCCGAACGGACGACACCUCCGCGUUCAACACACGUACGAAGCAGCGACGUCUCCUCCUUCUUGAUCCAGCAAGGGGGAAGGAGAGGUUGAUGGAGAUCCAGCAGCACGACGGCGUGGUGGUGGAAGUAGCGGGAUCCCGGCAGGGCUUCGCCAAGCGCAAGCGGGGGGGAGAGGUGUUGCAAGGGGAGAGGGAGGCGCCAGGGGCUGUGUUGCUGCUGCCCUCCCUCCCCCCCACUAUUUAUAGGGGCCCUGGGGGGGCGCCGGCCCCCAGGAGCUCCCAUCUGAGGGGGGGGGGGGGCGGCGGCCAAGGGGGGUGGCUUGCCCCCCAAGCCAAGUGAGGCGCCCCCACCCUUAGGGUUUCCAACCCUAGGCGCAGGGGGAGGCCCAAGGGGGGCGCCCCAGCCCACUAGGGGCUGGUUCCCCUCCCACUUCAGCCCAUGGGGCCCUCCGGGAUAGGUGGCCCCACCCGGUGGACCCCCGGGACCCUUUCGGUGGUCCCGGUACAAUACCGAUAACCCGCGAAACUUUCCCGGUGGCCGAAACUGGACUUCCUAUAUAUAAUUCUUCACCUCCGGACCAUUCCGGAACUCCUCGUGACGUCCGGGAUCUCAUCCGGGACUCCGAACAACUUUCGGGUUUCCGCAUACUAAUAUCUCUACAACCCUAGCGUCACCGAACCUUAAGUGUGUAGACCCUACGGGUUCGGGAGACAUGCAGACAUGACCGAGACGCCUCUCCGGUCAAUAACCAACAGCGGGAUCUGGAUACCCAUGUUGGCUCCCACAUGUUCCACGAUGAUCUCAUCGGAUGAACCACGAUGUCGAGGAUUCAAUCAAUCCCGUAUACAAUUCCCUUUGUCAAUCGGUACGUUACUUGCCCGAGAUUCGAUCGUCGGUAUCCCAAUACCUUGUUCAAUCUCGUUACCGGCAAGUCACUUUACUCGUACCGUAAUGCAUGAUCCCGUGGCUAACUCCUUAGUCAUAUUGAGCUCAUUAGGAUGAUGCAUUACCGAGUGGGCCCAGAGAUACCUCUCCGUCAUACGGAGUGACAAAUCACAGUCUCGAUCCGUGCCAACUCAACAGACACUUUCGGAGAUACCCGUAGUGUACCUUUAUAGUCACCCAGUUACGUUGUGACGUUUGGCACACCCAAAGCACUCCUACGGUAUCCGGGAGUUGCAUGAUCUCAUGGUCUAAGGAAAUGAUACUUGACAUUGGAAAAGCUCUAGCAAACGAACUACACGAUCUUUUGUGCUAUGCUUAGGAAUGGGUCUUGUCCAUCACAUCAUUCUCCUAAUGAUGUGAUCCCGUUAUCAAUGACAUCCAAUGUCCAUAGUCAGGAAACCAUGACUAUCUGUUGAUCAACGAGCUAGUCAACUAGAGGCUUACUAGGGACACGUUCUGGUCUAUGUAUUCACACAUGUAUUACGAUUUCCGGAUAACACAAUUAUAGCAUGAACAAUAGACAAUUAUCAUGCACAAAGAAAUAUAAUAAUAACCAUUUAUUAUUGCCUCUAGGGCAUAUUUCCAACAGUCUCCCACUUGCACAAGAGUCAAUAAUCUAGUUACAUUGUGAUGAAUCGAACACCCAUAGCAUUCUGGUGUUGAUCAUGUUUUGCUCUAGGGAGAGGUUUAGUCAACGGAUCUGCUACAUUCAGGUCCGUAUGUACUUUACAAAUAUCUAUGUCUCCAUUUUGAACACUUUCACGAAUGGAGUUGAAGCGACGCUUGAUAUGCCUGGUCUUCCUGUGAAACCUAGGCUCCUUGGCAAGGGCAAUAGCUCCAGUGUUGUCACAGAAGAGAGUCAUCGGGCCCGACGCAUUGGGAAUCACCCCUAGGUCGGUAAUGAACUCCUUUAUCCAGACUGCUUCCUGUGCUGCCUCUGAGGCCGCCAUGUACUCCGCUUCACAUGUAGAUCCCGCCACGACGCUUUGCUUGCAACUGCACCAGCUUACUGCUCCUCCAUUCAAAAUAUACACGUAUCCGGUUUGUGACUUCGAGUCAUCCAGAUCUGUGUCGAAGCUAGCGUCGACGUAACCCUUUAUGACGAGCUCUUCGGCACCUCCAUAAACGAGAAACAUAUCCUUAGUCCUCUUCAGGUACUUCAUGAUAUUCUUGACCGCUGUCCAGUGUUCCAUGCCGGGAUUACUUUGGUACCUUCCUACCAAACUUACGGCAAGGUUUACAUCAGGUCUGGUACACAGCAUGGCAUAGAUAAUAGACCCUAUGGCCGAGGCAUUGGGGAUGACACUCAUCUUUUCUCUAUCUUCUGCCGUGGUCGGGCAUUGAGCCGUGCUCAAUUGCACACCUUGCAAUACAGGCAAGAACCCCUUCUUGGACUGAUCCAUAUUGAACUUCUUCAAUAUCUUGUCAAGGUAUGUACUCUGUAAAAGACCAAUGAGGCGUCUUGAUCUAUCUCUAUAGAUCUUGAUGCCUAAUAUAUAAGCAGCUUCUCCAAGGUCCUUCAUUGAAAAACACUUAUUCAAAUAGGCCUUUAUACUUUCCAAGAAUUCUAUAUCAUUUCCCAUCAAUAGUAUGUCAUCCACAUAUAAUAAGAGAAAUGCUACAGAGCUCCCACUCACUUUCUUGUAAACACAGGCUUCUCCAUAAGUCUGUGUAAACCCAAACGCUUUGAUCAUCUCAUCAAAUCGAAUGUUCCAACUCCGAGAUGCUUGCACUAGCCCAUAGAUGGAGCGCUGGAGCUUGCAUACCUUGUUAGCAUUCUUAGGCUCGACAAAACCUUCCGGCUGCAUCAUAUACAAUUCUUCCUUAAGAAAGCCGUUAAGGAAUGCCGUUUUGACGUCCAUUUGCCAUAUCUCAUAAUCGUAGAAUGCGGCAAUUGCUAACAUGAUUCGGACGGACUUCAGCUUCGCUACGGGUGAGAAAGUCUCAUCGUAGUCAACCCCUUGAACUUGUCGAUAACCCUUAGCGACAAGUCGAGCCUUAUAGAUGGUCACGUUACCAUCCGCGUCUGUCUUCUUCUUAAAGAUCCAUUUAUUUUCUAUGGCUCGCCGAUCAUCGGGCAAGUUAGUCAAAGUCCAUACUUCGUUUUCAUACAUGGAUCCUAUCUCGGAUUUCAUGGCUUCUAGACAUUUGUCGGAAUCCAGGCCCACCAUCGCUUCUUCAUAGUUCGAAGGUUCACCGUUGUCUAACAACAUGAUUUCCAGGACAGGGUUGCCGUACCACUCUGGUGCGGAACGUGUCCUUGUGGACCUACGAAGUUCAGCAGUAACUUGAUCCGAAGCUUCAUGAUCAUCAUCAUUAACUUCCUCCCCAGUCGGUGUAGGCCCCACAAGAACAUCUUCCCGCGCUGCGCUACUUUCCAGUUCGGAAGGGGUGAUUAUCACCUCAUCAAGUUCCACUUUCCUCCCACUUAAUUCUUUCGAGAGAAACUCUUUCUCCAGAAAGGACCUGUUCUUGGCAACAAAGAUCUUGCCUUCGGAUCUGAGGUAGAAGGUAUACCCAAUGGUUUCCUUAGGGUAUCCUAUGAAGACGCAUUUUUCCGACUUGGGUUCGAGCUUUUCAGGUUGAAGUUUCUUGACAUAAGCAUCGCAUCCCCAAACUUUUAGAAACGACAGCUUAGGUUUCUUCCCAAACCAUAAUUCAUACGGUGUCGUCUCAACGGAUUUCGACGGAGCCCUAUUUAAAGUGAAUGCGGCAGUCUCUAAAGCAUAGCCCCAAAAUGAGAGCGGUAGAUCGGUAAGAGACAUCAUAGAUCGCACCAUAUCCAAUAGAGUGCGAUUACGACAUUCGGACACACCGUUUCGCUGAGGUGUUCCAGGCGGCGUGAGUUGUGAAACAAUUCCACAUUUCCUUAAGUGCGUACCAAAUUCGUGACUUAAAUAUUCUCCACCACGAUCUGAUCGUAAGAACUUUAUUUUUCUGUCACGUUGAUUCUCAACCUCACUCUGAAAUUCCUUGAACUUUUCAAAGGUUUCAGACUUGUGUUUCAUUAGGUAGACAUACCCAUAUCUACUUAAAUCAUCAGUGAGAGUGAGAACAUAACGAUAGCCACCGCGAGCCUCAACACUCAUUGGACUGCACACAUCAGUAUGUAUGAUUUCCAAUAAGUUGGUUGCUCGCUCCAUUGUUCCGGAGAACGGAGUCUUGGUCAUCUUACCCAUGAGGCAUGGUUCGCACGUGUCAAAAGAUUCGUAAUCAAGAGACUCCAAAAGUCCAUCUGCAUGGAGCUUCUUCAUGCGCUUGACACCAAUGUGACCAAGGCGGCAGUGCCACAAGUAUGUGGGACUAUCGUUAUCAACUUUACAUCUUUUGGUAUUCACACUAUGAAUAUGUGUAACAUCACGUUCGAGAUUCAUCAAGAAUAAACCAUUGACCAGCGGGGCAUGACCAUAAAACAUAUCUCUCAUAUAAAUAGAACAACCAUUAUUCUCGUAUUUAAAUGAGUAGCCAUCUCGAAUUAAACGAGAUCCUGAUACAAUGUUCAUGCUCAAAGCUGGCACUAAAUAACAAUUAUUGAGGUUUAAAACUAAUCCCGUAGGUAAAUGUAGAGGCAGCGUGCCGACGGCGAUCACAUCGACCUUGGAACCAUUCCCGACGCGCAUCGUCACCUCGUCCUUUGCCAGUCUCCGCUUAUUCCGCAGUUCCUGUUUUGAGUUACAAAUAUGAGCAACCGCACCGGUAUCAAAUACCCAGGAGUUACUACAAGUACUGGUAAGGUACACAUCAAUUACAUGUAUAUCACAUAUACCUUUGGUGUUGCUGGCCUUCUUGUCCGCUAAGUAUUUGGGGCAGUUCCGCUUCUAGUGACCAUUUCCCUUGCAAUAAAAGCACUCAGUCUCAGGCUUGGGUCCAUUCUUCGACUUCUUCCCGGCAACUGGCUUACCAGGCGCGGCAACUCCCUUGCCGUCCUUCUUGAAGUUCUUCUUACCCUUGCCUUUCUUGAACUUAGUGGUUUUAUUCACCAUCAACACUUGAUGUUCCUUUCUGAUCUCCACCUCCGCUGAUUUCAGCACUGAAUAUACCUCAGGAAUGGUCUUUUCCAUCCCCUGCAUAUUGAAGUUCAUCACAAAGCUCUUGUAGCUUGGUGGAAGCGACUGAAGGAUUCUGUCAAUGACCGCGUCAUCCGGGAGAUUAACUCCCAGCUGAGACAAGCGGUUGUGUAACCCAGACAUUCUGAGUAUGUGCUCACUAACAGAACUAUUUUCCUUCAUUUUACAGCUGAAGAACUUGUCGGAGACUUCAUAUCUCUCGACCCGGGCAUGAGCUUGGAAAACCAUUUUCAGCUCUUCGAACAUUUCAUAUGCUCCAUGCUUCUCAAAACGCUUUUGGAGCCCCGGUUCUAAGCUGUAAAGCAUGCCGCACUGAACGAGGGAGUAAUCAUCAGCACGUGAUUGCCAAGCCUUCAUAACGUCUUGGUUCUCUGGGAUGGGUGCUUCACCUAGCGGUGCUUCUAAGACAUAAUCUUUCUUGGCAGCUAUGAGGAUGAUCCUCAGGUUCCGGACCCAGUCCAUAUAGUUGCUGCCAUCAUCUUUCAGCUUGGUUUUCUCUAGGAACGCGUUGAAGUUGAGGACAACGUUAGCCAUUUGAUCUACAAGACAUAUUGUAAAGAUUUUAGACUAUGUUCAUGAUAAUUAAGCUCAUCUAAUCAAAUUACUCCAUGAACUCCCACUCAGAUAGACAUCCCUCUAGUCAUCUAAGUGACGAUAACCGAGAACCACACAGAUGACCAAGUCGAUGAUGCCACUGUUUGAAGGAACCAGUAACAGAGGCGACGGCAGCGGAGGGACUGGCGAUGGUGGUGGCAGCGGAAGGAACAUGAAGCCAGUCCAACUCCCAAAGACCCUGAGAAUCACGGCGGCGAGGGCCAGCCCCAACCAGAGUGUGCGUGCGACGAUCCUGGGCAGAACAAGAGUCAGCAUCAAGGAUGACACGACAACCAGAAUCAGUAAGUUGACCAGCAGAAAACAAAUUCAUGGUAAGUCGAGGAACAUGAGCAACAUCAGGAACAGAAUAAGAAAGAGUGGAAAGAUGGCCUCUACUAGCAACAGAAAGUGGAGUACCAUCAGUAGUGACGACAUGAACAGGAGAAUCCAGCGAUCGAAGAGAGGACAAAACGGAAGAAUGAGAAGACAUAUGAAAAGAAGCUCCAGAGUCCAGAACCCAUGGGGAUGUACCUGACUGUGUAGAGGGCGGGUGCUCAGUGCGGGAAGCAUCAGUCACAGAACCAGCAGUACCCGUCGAGGAAGAACCUGAAGCCGCGAGCAGACGCUUAAGUCUCAGAAUAUCCUGCUCAGUCAAAGCAAUGGCUGAAGCUGGCGAGGGAGAUGAAGUCCCUGAGGAGGAUGAUCGCGCCUUGCGCAGGUGUUUCCGCUUUGUGUAGCACUGGGACUCAAUAUGACCAUCAUUGUUGCAGUAGUCACAGUGUGGACGGGGGCGACCUGAGCCUCCAGAAGGAGUGGGCAAGAGCGGCGGAGCACUCGAGCGAGAAUGGGGCGGUGCAGCAGGUGGAGUGGAAGAAGCCCGAGUAGCGAGCACAGAGGGAACCUCCAGCAAACCAGCACCACGUAGGCGAGUCUCCUCAGCACGAAUCUCUGAAAGCGCCUCCAUGAGAGAAAUACGGCCACGAGCAAACAACUGAGCACGCCGAGGCUCAAACUCCUUACGGAGCCGAGACAGGAACUCGUAGACGCGAUGAAACUCCAAAUCGGCUUGGAUAGCCUGGCAGCAGGGGCAAGUACGACAACCAGCACUGCGGAGAGAAUCAAGCAGACGCCAGAUAGCAGAACUCUGUGCAUAAAAGUCAUCAACAGUAGAGUCACCCUGCUGAAGAGCAUGCUCCUGAUGAACCACAGAAAGAUAUAAGGCAUCACCAGAGGGCUCAUAGCGCUGACGAAGACAGGUCCACAUCUGGAAGACAGUAGGAAGACCCAGAAACUCAGAAGCAAACUGAGGCAGAACACUAGCAGUGAGAACAGCUGCAGCACGAGCAUCAUCAUCAAGCCACUGAGUGUAAACAGACAAAGCACCAUGAUACGUCUAAAGAGCCUCCUCAUAAGCCAAAGCCCUCUCAUCAUAGGCACGAUCAGCAGUCUCAUCAGCAAUCUUAGCCGCAUCCUUGGCGGCCUGAUUAGCAUCCGUAGGAAGAACUAGUGGAGUCGGCGGAGUAGGGGCCACCGGAGGAACCGGACGUGGCGGACAGCAGACCUCGCCAGAAAGAACACCCCAGAGACGGAUGCCACGCAUGUGAAUGCGCAUGAAGCCAGCGAACUCGGUGUAGUUAGUACCAUCGAAGAUCACCGGACAGCGAGGGACAGAAACAUAGCCCGAUGCAGCAGACAUUUUUUUAGGAGAGACCCGUAAUCAGGGGAACACCGGACGGCAGGCGGAGGACCACGGGAGACCACGAAUCCGGGCGGGAGGGGCGGACGACCACGGACGGGUCGCGGCGGCCGAGCACGGGGAGCGCGGUGCGGGGGCGCGCGAGGGAGAGCACAAGGUCCCGCGGGUCACGAUGGCCGAGCACGGGGAGAGCAGACCGAGGCAGGGCGCCGAGACGAGCGGGAGCUUCGGCGGCGGCCGACUUCGAGCGGGAGCGAGGCGACCGAUGUAGGGCGCCGAGACGAGCGGGAUCGAGGCGACCGAUGCAGGGCGCCGAGACGAGCGGGAGCGCAACGGGACACCAAGGCUGGCGGCUGACGAGCGGGGGCGCAGAGGGAGCUGCGCACGGCGCAUGACGAGGAGGCCUUCGGGCGGGGAUGCGUCGGCCGGGGCAGCGGAUCGGGCACGAGUUGCGGCGUGCGAAAAAAAAACCUAGAGCUCCAAUAUCAUGUUAGGAAUAAGCAACUUAUAUUCCCAUGAGGCCAUAGGCCAAUAUAUAUACAUGUACAGGUGUGGAACAUAUGCAGAAAACCCAUUAUACAACGGGAUAAAUACAAAGGGGUACAUGACCUAUAUUAUAACUCUAACAGUUCCAUUUGCGAGGCAGCCAUUUUUAGCCACUCAACGAAUAUUUCGAGCAACCUCAGAAAACGAGAAAAAAAAGAUCAUUUUUCUCCUGAUCCUUUCCAUCCGAACUACAAGCAAAGAAAAAAAGGGUCAAAUUUUGUGUAUGCAAAAUCUGCAUUGCACUUAAAAACAGAAGGGUUUAUUUUUCAUUUAUUCAUCGCCAAAUCUGUUGGCGAUUACACAAGAACAUACACGGCUGGGGAAAGAAACGCACUACAGAGAUGUCUCAUCAGACUCGGCAAGACGAAGACACAACUAUAGCAUACUUUCAGGUUGCAGAACUCGCACACAUUAACCAAACUGGCUCCAACCCUGAUGAUCAUUCGCAGAGACGCAUUCACUCAGCCGGAGAUCUGGAUGGCCUUCACCUCGGGCUUCUUGACCUCGGCCUUGGGCACGGUGACGGUGAGCACACCGUUCUCCAGCCCGGCCUUCACCUCCUCCACCUUGGCGUCCUCCGGCAGCCGGAACCGCCUGACGAACUUGCCGCUGCUGCGCUCCACGCGGUGCCACUUGUCGUUCUUGUCCUCCUUUUCCUUGGUGCGCUCGCCGCUGACGACGAGCACGUUGCCGUCCUCCACCUCCACCUUGACCUCCUCCUUCUUCACGCCUGGAAGGUCGGCCUUGAAGACGUGCGCCUCGGGGGUCUCCUUCCAGUCCAUGCGAGCAUUGGCGAACGCGGCCGUCUCGCUGCUGCCACCUGAGAUCGCCGGGACGAUGGAGCGGAAGGUGUCGAAGGGGUCCGCCCAGAGGUCGGCGAAGGGGUCGAAGACGUUGCUCCGCCGCACGAUCGACAUUGCUGGUGUUGAUUGCUUCGGGUUGUGAGCUCAGAAAAUUCUGUAUCGGAUCGUUGGUAGGAAUAUGAUACUGCUGGCUUUUGCUUGACACUGAUUUGAGUUGGGAUGGAGGCCGAUGGGAGGCGGUACUUAUAGCGUCGCAGGUGAUGCUCUUGAAGCGUCUCGAGGUCUCUCCAGUGGACGGGCGUUUGGUGGUACUUUAUCGCUUUCCAGCUCGGCUGGGCGCUUCCUUUUCUUUCUACUUUCAGCCCAUGAAGGUCCUACCGUGUUCUAGAGUACUCUCCUGCUUUGGUGUUGGCGGGGCUUCUCCAUUAUUUUUCUGUGCACAGCAACAGCACCCCGGUGAGUAGUCUGGAAGAUGCGGAAAUCCGUUGGUGCUCCUUGGUGGAUGUUCACAAUUUUUUAAAAACAUUCACAAAGUAAAACAAUGUUUGUAAAUUAUAAAUACUUUACAAAUAUGAAUAAAAUAACCUCAAAUUCUAUAAAAUUCUUCACGAGUUUUAGAAUUUCAAGAUUUUUUUGUAGAUGGUCGUGGAUUUUAAUCAAUGUUUUUGUAAUUAAAAUUUUGUAAUUUUCUUUUCAUUAAUGUGAAAACCCCUUCAUGGAUUUUAAAAAUUGUUCACAGUUUCGAAGAAAUAUUUCUUAAUUUGAAAAAACAUCUGAAUUUAAAUUGUGUCCAUAAUUUUAAAAAAUAUUCAUGAAUUAAGAAAAUAAAUGGAAAAUGAAACAUUAAAAAUGGUAGAGAAAAAAGAUAACAAAUUGAACGGAACCUCCCCAAAAUUGGAAGGACCGGGCUACAUGGCCAACCCAAUGCGCUUGCGAGGGUCAGCAUUUGCUCUACCGCCUCCAAUAUGCGCAGAAUGUGAAUUGCCAUACAUACUCUCGAAAGGAAAGAUAUAAUUGAUAUAUGAAAACCGAAGAAUGGUGGCGCAAAGCGCACAUUACCCUCUAGUGUAAUGUAUUUCCCAUAGUAUAUCAAAGUUAACACACAUCGUCACUCUAACUUCACGCCCUUUACAGUUAUACGAUAGAGUCAAAUAUUUUGUCCACGUUUAACUUAAGCAAUAAUGUACACAUCGCCGGGUAAAACGAUGAUAGAUACAAAUGCAAAAACAAUAUUAUUCACGCCAUCGAAAUAAAAGCGGAAUUGUAGCGACAUGGGUCCCACGCGGAAGCUACUUGCACUCUCACUCCGCAAAUGUCAUCCUUGGCGCGAUUGUUCCUAGCAGAAUAGUUGAUUUCACAACAUUUGAAUCAUGUAACUAUGCCCUUCAGUUCUACAUACCGUGUGGUUUUGGUCUCUCGAAGUGUAUUUUAUCAAAGUUGUGUUGAUGUGUGGGCUCGUCGCGAUAGUGUGGCUCUCACAUCGCCAUUUUUCCUUCAGAAAUAUCCAUUAGUUCUUUUUAAAGCAUAUAUAAAAGCUAGAGAAAAGAUCUAAUAAGUCAAGAAAACAUCAAAAUCAAAAAUUAAAUAAAAGCCAUAUGGUUUUCAAUAAUUUUCUUAUUUUCUCUCUAGUUUGUGGACCAUGAAUUUUAUAUUUGGAGUAAGUAUUUUUUCCCUUUCUAAAGAAAAUAAAUUUUACAUUCAUUUUGUGUAUUUAUCCUCUUUACUCCAUUUUUGCACCUUCUUAUUCAAUUUUCUGUUUGUUGGCCUUUUCGUGCUUGGAUGAUAUGUUAUUGAAAAAACUAGACGGUAUCAAUGAGCUUGGAACCAAAAAUGCAGCUGCCUCACGUUAAUUUUAUGGUGUCUUGAGUUAACAAUAUAUAUUUUUGGAAAAAUUAAAGUUAACCAUUGGUCCACCUAUUUCAUGCCUAAUUUUAUGACUUAAUAAAGAAAAAAAACCCAGAAACAGUCAGUCAUUAGGAGGUCUCCUUAGAUCGCUUCUUCCACCUGUAGCAGCACAGUCCCAAUUGAAACAGAAUCAGCAUUGAAACCGCCCACGCCACGCUAACCAUGUUGGAUCCACGGCAAGGAGAGCCGCUCUGCGAAGCAGAGGAACAUCGAUCGCAUUGCCCCGACUAACCAUCCCUGGGAUCUCCAUGCAACAGUUGCCCUCUUCCACCGUUGAGACUACACGUAGGAUGGUGUUUUGGUGAUUCCCCGAAAGGCAAACCUCGCGACCAGCGUGGAAAGUGAAGAAAAUAUGCCCUAAAGGCAAUAAUAAAGUUAUUAUUUAUUUCCUUACAUCAUGAUAAAUGUUUAUUAUUCACGCUAGAAUUGUAUUAACCGGAAACUUAGUACAUGUGUGAAUACGUAGACAAACAGAGUGUCCCUAGUAUACCUCUACUUGACUAGCUCGUUAAUCAAAGAUGGUUAAGUUUCCUAGCCAUAGACAUGUGUUGUCAUUUGAUGAACGGGAUCACAUCAUUAAAGAAUGAUGUGAUGGACAAGACCCAUCCGUUAGCUUAGCACUGUGAUCGUUUAGUUUAUUGCUAUUGCUUUCUUCAUGACUUAUACAUGUUCCUAUGACUAUGAGAUUAUGCAACUCCCGAAUAGCGGAGGAACACUUAGUGUGCUAUCAAACGUGACAACGUAACUGGGUGAUUAUAAAGAUGCUCUACAGGUGUCUCCGAUGGUGUUUGUUGGGUUGGCAUAGAUCGAGAUUAGAAUUUGUCACUCCAUGUUUCGGAGAGGUAUCUCUGGGCCCUCUCGGUAAUGCACAUCACUAUAAGCCUUGCAAGCAAUGUGACUAAUGAGUUAGUCACGGGAUGAUGCACUACGGAACGAGUAAAGAGACUUGCCGGUAACGAGAUUGAACUAAGUAUGGUGAUACCGACGAUCAAAUCUCCGAUGACAAAGGGAACAACGUAUGUUGUUAUGCGGUUUGACCGAUAAUGAUCUUCGUAGAAUAUGUAGGAGCCAAUAUGAGCAUGCAGGUUCCGCUAUUGGUUAUUGACCGGAGAUGUGUCUCGGUCAUGUCGACAUAGUUAUCGAACCCGUAGGGUCCGCACGCUUAACGUUCGAUGACGAUCGGUAUUAUGAGUUUAUGUGUUUUGAUGUACCGAAGGUUAUUCGGAGUCCCGGAUGAGAUCACGGACAUAACGAGGAGUCUCUAAAUGGUCGAGACAUAAAGGUUCCGGGGGUCACCGGAUAAAUACCGGAGUACCGGGGAGUUACCGGAACCCCCCGGGCGGUCAAUGGGCCUUCAUGGGCCUUAGUGGAAAUAGAGGGCAGCAAGGGAGCUGUGGGGCGCGUCCCCCUUAGGCCCAAACCGAAUUGGUUAGGGCUUGGGGGGACCGGCCCCCUCUUUCCUUCUCCCCUCUUCCUCUUUCCUUCCCCUCCUAGUUGGACUAGGAAAAGGGGAACCUACUCCUAGUAGGAGUAGGAUUCCCCCCUUGGGGCGCACCCUAUGAGGCCGCCGGCCCCCUCCCCUUGCUCCUUUAUAUACGGGGGAGGCGGCACCCCAUAGACACACAAGUUGANNNNNNNNNNNNNNNNNNNNNNNNNNNNNNNNNNNNNNNNNNNNNNNNNNNNNNNNNNNNNNNNNNNNNNNNNNNNNNNNNNNNNNNNNNNNNNNNNNNNNNNNNNNNNNNNNNNNNNNNNNNNNNNNNNNNNNNNNNNNNNNNNNNNNNNNNNNNNNNNNNNNNNNNNNNNNNNNNNNNNNNNNNNNNNNNNNNNNNNNNNNNNNNNNNNNNNNNNNNNNNNNNNNNNNNNNNNNNNNNNNNNNNNNNNNNNNNNNNNNNNNNNNNNNNNNNNNNNNNNNNNNNNNNNNNNNNNNNNNNNNNNNNNNNNNNNNNNNNNNNNNUCCACCUCGGUCAUAUCGUUGUAGUGCUUAGGCGAAGCCCUGCGUCGGUAACUUCAUCAUCACCGUCAUCACGCCGUCGUGCUGACGAAACUCUCCCUCGGCCUCAACUGGAUCAAGAGUACGAGGGACAUCACCGAGUUGAACGUGUGCAAAUAGCGGAGGUGCCCGUGCAUGCAAUGUACAUAAAAAGAACAUAGAUCAUCACACAAACAUAGAAUCAGAAAGAGGAAUGCACAUUUCGGUCACCAAAAGAUCACCGACGGAUGUCCAAAAGAUCGCCACAGUUCACAUAAUUCAGAUAAACGACGGACAAAUUUAAACUAGAUUACUAAAAACUUGAAAUUGAAGAUGGAGGCAGCGGAGAUUCACCACUUCCUCGCCGGCCCUUUGCCCUUCCGGUCGCCUACGCAGCUGUAGGCAUCGGCGGCUGGUAGCGGAUCGUCCGAGUCGUCCGACGAGGAGCUGUGGCCGCCGUCGUCAUCGAAGGUGUCGGAGAGGAUGACGAGCCCUUUUAGCCGCCGGACCUCCCUGUCCUGCUGCCGCUUGAGCUUCGCGAUACGAGCCACCUCCGUCGCUGCCUCCGCCGCCUCGCGCUCAGACUGCUCAAUGGCAAUCUGGAGUGCCUUGGCGUUCUUCCACCGGAGCCGCCGCGCGUCCGUCACCACGGUCGUAAGCGACCGGCGGUAGACCCAUUCGAGGAGCUGCGCGUCCUCGUCGGGCUUCGCCUCCAUCCCGUGGCGGUGGCGCACGGACUGCUCUGCCUCCUUCCUCCUCCUUUGCUGCUAUCGCUCGCGACAGGGUGCCACACGCCCCUGAUUCCGGCGUGCGCGUCCGGGCCGGCGGGGCAGGCACAAGCACCCAUCGCUACCCACGUGGGGGAGAAGCAGCGGCGGGUGCAGGGCGGUGUAGGGGAGGCGCAGAUUCCGUUAGCCACCGGUCGAAGCUGCGCACGGGCCGGGAGGGGCCAUCGUCGGCGUCCAAGCUGCGCCGACGGGGAGUUGCGUCUGCUACGAGGCUACAGAUCCAGUGCUGCCCUCGGUCUCCACCUUGGACCGCUCCAAGGCGAUGCGGAGGGCAAGCUCAUAGUCCGGAUCCAGGUCGGAGUCGGAGCGGCUGGUGGAACUCGACAUUGUGCCUGAUUCGAUCGAAACGGUGCGGGGAGAGGAGAGGAUGGAGCGGGAGAGGAGAGUGAGUGAGCCAGGGUUUCGGAGCGAUGAGCCGGAUGAGUUUUUUUGUGGGACAGCCCUGGGGGAGGUGGUGGGCCGGGCUUGUCACGCAAACGCGCCCGGACGUGCCCUGGCCACCCCAUAUCCGCCCCAUAUUUGGGCUGGAUAUGAGGGGUGUCAGUCAGCCCGGGCAUUUGACGCGUCCGUCUGGGUCAAAAAAAUCGUGACCGGUCAGUACCCAGGCGGACAGUCCACGCGUUUGAGGCCAAUUUGGGGCGCCCAGCUGAAGUGCUUCGUUGGUCCAUAUGAAAUGCUUAGGACACACAUUGAAUUAGAUGAGAGAAAAUUAUUCAGUACUAUGCAUGCUUCCAGUGCAUGCUUUCUUCAGUUUUGGAAUAGAAAUCAAAGAAUAUGGAGGAAGCACAAAAAGAUGAUCAACGAGAUGGCGUGAUUUGUGGGGUAGUUGCCAGGAAAGAAACUGCAUGCAAACUGCCUACAAGGCCCCAGUUGUAUUAUCCCAUCGUACGCAUUCAACUAGCCAACGGAAGGAGCUAAUCCCACGCGGCCUUAAACAUAAGAUCAACGUCAAUUAAUCUUGCUUUCUAUCCCACGACAUAGCUGAUGCCUAGUGCCCUGAUGACAGAUUUACCCUUUCAUAAGUUAAGUGGUUCCACCUAAAUUUUGUAAUGGUCCCACCAUUACAUGUAAUUUCUCGUAAUUUCAAUUUCGUAACUCCUAUUUUUUCACCGUCAGAUUAGGCUGGAUGGACGGUCCUAAAAUCGCCAAUCACCAUAACAGUUAUAUUGAGAAAUACCUUCAAUUCUUUGAUAGUUUUCUCUUGAAAAGUACAAUUUUUUUUUAUCAGUGCACACCCCCAUAUAAUCACACUUGUUAACUCAAACGUGACAUCUCAUCUAGUGAAGUCCAAAUGUAAGACUUGAUCACUACUGGGUUGGAAAUAUACUAAUUCAGUCUAAGCAAAUCUUGAUCUUUAAACUACUCUUUCCCAUGUGAACGAGGAGGAUGUUUAGAUGAGAGAACUUAGAAGCUCAAUUGUUUUUGGCAGAACACGUUCAUUACACUAUCUCUUUUAGUUGCAAUUAAAACACUGAAAAUACAUAUUUGAUUUAUCGGAGUAUUACCUUGCCUAUAUCAAUACUAUUCCCUCCGACCGGAAUAACUUGUCACAAAAAAUACAUGUAUCUAGAACUAAAAUACAUCUAGAUGCAUCCAUUUCUCCGAUAAGUAAUUCCGGACGGAAGGAGUACUAUAUACGUACCAGUUUUGAAUGGAACUCAAGCGGCAACCUUAACCAUUAGUCUUCUGUAUAUUUGAUGGUUGCGAGUUAUGGGAUUCAUAGUGAACAGUGGCCUGUCGUUGCCUCCACCGUGUUCUAGAAACACCUCUUCGUCCUUUCUCAAAAAAAAAGCAGGCCCAUGCCUGUUGGGCCGAGUUGUGUACGCGCUAAGCAGAUGGGGAUUGCAUCUGUGCAAAUUUCUACAUUUUCACUUUUAGACUUCGACCAAGUCCAAUAAUGGUAUCUCCAGGACAAAGGAAAAAAUCCACGAAGAUUGACAUCCAUUGCACUUCAACUCUUGCUGAUUUCCAACAUGAUGAUGGUUUUGACAACAGAAUCAAAUGAAACAUACAUCACUAACAAAUUCCAGUGAUCAUUGAAAGCUUCCACUGUGGCGUCAUAAGAUGCACCAUCGAGUAGAUAGACUCUUAAAUUGUGAAUGUGGGGGAAUAUCGGGAUAUUUGUAGCUACAUAUGCAUAUGGAAAUACCAUCCUAGUCAUGUUGCAUUCGUCGUAUUCGAUGAUAAACCCCAAAGCUCUCCACAAUCGAUCAGUAUGAACGGUAAUUCUGGUGACUCCGACUACUGCUUGCAAGACCUGUACCACGACCCUACUUCUUUCUGUUAGGGAAUGCAGUAAUUUCAAAAAAAUUACUACACACACGCAAGAUCCAUCUAGGUGAUGCAUAGCAACGAGAGGGGAGAGUGUUGUCUACGUACCCUCGUAGACCGAAAGCAGAAGCGUUUAGUAACGCAGUUGAUGUAGUCGAACGUCUUCGCGAUCCAACCGAUCCAAGUACCGAACGCACGGCACCUCCGCUAUCUGCACACGUUCAGCUCGGUGAUGUCCCUCGUACUCUUGAUCCAGUUGAGGCCGAGGGAGAGUUUCGUCAGCACGACGGCGUGAUGACGGUGAUGAUGAAGUUGCCGACGCAGGGCUUCGCCUAAGCACUACAACGAUAUGACCGAGGUGGNNNNNNNNNNNNNNNNNNNNNNNNNNNNNNNNNNNNNNNNNNNNNNNNNNNNNNNNNNNNNNNNNNNNNNNNNNNNNNNNNNNNNNNNNNNNNNNNNNNNNNNNNNNNNNNNNNNNNNNNNNNNNNNNNNNNNNNNNNNNNNNNNNNNNNNNNNNNNNNNNNNNNNNNNNNNNNNNNNNNNNNNNNNNNNNNNNNNNNNNNNNNNNNNNNNNNNNNNNNNNNNNNNNNNNNNNNNNNNNNNNNNNNNNNNNNNNNNNNNNNNNNNNNNNNNNNNNNNNNNNNNNNNNNNNNNNNNNNNNNNNNNNNNNNNNNNNNNNNNNNNNNNNNNNNNNNNNNNNNNNNNNNNNNNNNNNNNNNNNNNNNNNNNNNNNNNNNNNNNNNNNNNNNNNNNNNNNNNNNNNNGUGUCUAUGGGGUGCCCCCUCCCCCGUAUAUAAAGGAGCAAGGGGAGGGGGCCGGCGGCCUCAUAGGGUGCGCCCCAAGGGGGGAAUCCUACUCCUACUAGGAGUAGGUUCCCCUUUUCCUAGUCCAACUAGGAGGGGAAGGAAAGAGGAAGAGGGGAGAAGGAAAGAGGGGGCCGGUCCCCCCAAGCCCUAACCAAUUCGGUUUGGGCCUAAGGGGGACGCGCCCCACAGCUCCCUUGCUGCCCUCUAUUUCCACUAAGGCCCAUGAAGGCCCAUUGACCGCCCGGGGGGUUCCGGUAACUCCCCGGUACUCCGGUAUUUAUCCGAUGACCCCCGGAACCUUUAUGUCUCGACCAUUUAGAGACUCCUCGUUAUGUCCGUGAUCUCAUCCGGGACUCCGAAUAACCUUCGGUACAUCAAAACACAUAAACUCAUAAUACCGAUCGUCAUCGAACGUUAAGCGUGCGGACCCUACGGGUUCGAUAACUAUGUCGACAUGACCGAGACACAUCUCCGGUCAAUAACCAAUAGCGGAACCUGCAUGCUCAUAUUGGCUCCUACAUAUUCUACGAAGAUCAUUAUCGGUCAAACCGCAUAACAACAUACGUUGUUCCCUUUGUCAUCGGAGAUUUGAUCGUCGGUAUCACCAUACUUAGUUCAAUCUCGUUACCGGCAAGUCUCUUUACUCGUUCCGUAGUGCAUCAUCCCGUGACUAACUCAUUAGUCACAUUGCUUGCAAGGCUUAUAGUGAUGUGCAUUACCGAGAGGGCCCAGAGAUACCUCUCCGAAACAUGGAGUGACAAAUUCUAAUCUCGAUCUAUGCCAACCCAACAAACACCAUCGGAGACACCUGUAGAGCAUCUUUAUAAUCACCCAGUUACGUUGUCACGUUUGAUAGCACACUAAGUGUUCCUCCGCUAUUCGGGAGUUGCAUAAUCUCAUAGUCAUAGGAACAUGUAUAAGUCAUGAAGAAAGCAAUAGCAAUAAACUAAACGAUCACAGUGCUAAGCUAACGGAUGGGUCUUGUCCAUCACAUCAUUCUUUAAUGAUGUGAUCCCGUUCAUCAAAUGACAACACAUGUCUAUGGCUAGGAAACUUAACCAUCUUUGAUUAACGAGCUAGUCAAGUAGAGGUAUACUAGGGACACUCUGUUUGUCUACGUAUUCACACAUGUACUAAGUUUCCGGUUAAUACAAUUCUAGCGUGAAUAAUAAACAUUUAUCAUGAUGUAAGGAAAUAAAUAAUAACUUUAUUAUUGCCUUUAGGGCAUAUUUUCUUCACUUUCCACGCUGGUCGCGAGGUUUGCCUUUCGGGGAAUCACCAAAACACCAUCCUACGUGUAGUCUCAACGGUGGAAGAGGGCAACUGUUGCAUGGAGAUCCCAGGGAUGGUUAGUCGGGGCAAUGCGAUCGAUGUUCCUCUGCUUCGCAGAGCGGCUCUCCUUGCCGUGGAUCCAACAUGGUUAGCGUGGCGUGGGCGGUUUCAAUGCUGAUUCUGUUUCAAUUGGGACUGUGCUGCUACAGGUGGAAGAAGCGAUCUAAGGAGACCUCCUAAUGACUGACUGUUUCUGGGUUUUUUUUCUUUAUUAAGUCAUAAAAUUAGGCAUGAAAUAGGUGGACCAAUGGUUAACUUUAAUUUUUCCAAAAAUAUAUAUUGUUAACUCAAGACACCAUAAAAUUAACGUGAGGCAGCUGCAUUUUUGGUUCCAAGCUCAUUGAUACCGUCUAGUUUUUUCAAUAACAUAUCAUCCAAGCACGAAAAGGCCAACAAACAGAAAAUUGAAUAAGAAGGUGCAAAAAUGGAGUAAAGAGGAUAAAUACACAAAAUGAAUGUAAAAUUUAUUUUCUUUAGAAAGGGAAAAAAUACUUACUCCAAAUAUAAAAUUCAUGGUCCACAAACUAGAGAGAAAAUAAGAAAAUUAUUGAAAACCAUAUGGCUUUUAUUUAAUUUUUGAUUUUGAUGUUUUCUUGACUUAUUAGAUCUUUUCUCUAGCUUUUAUAUAUGCUUUAAAAAGAACUAAUGGAUAUUUCUGAAGGAAAAAUGGCGAUGUGAGAGCCACACUAUCGCGACGAGCCCACACAUCAACACAACUUUGAUAAAAUACACUUCGAGAGACCAAAACCACACGGUAUGUAGAACUGAAGGGCAUAGUUACAUGAUUCAAAUGUUGUGAAAUCAACUAUUCUGCUAGGAACAAUCGCGCCAAGGAUGACAUUUGCGGAGUGAGAGUGCAAGUAGCUUCCGCGUGGGACCCAUGUCGCUACAAUUCCGCUUUUAUUUCGAUGGCGUGAAUAAUAUUGUUUUUGCAUUUGUAUCUAUCAUCGUUUUACCCGGCGAUGUGUACAUUAUUGCUUAAGUUAAACGUGGACAAAAUAUUUGACUCUAUCGUAUAACUGUAAAGGGCGUGAAGUUAGAGUGACGAUGUGUGUUAACUUUGAUAUACUAUGGGAAAUACAUUACACUAGAGGGUAAUGUGCGCUUUGCGCCACCAUUCUUCGGUUUUCAUAUAUCAAUUAUAUCUUUCCUUUCGAGAGUAUGUAUGGCAAUUCACAUUCUGCGCAUAUUGGAGGCGGUAGAGCAAAUGCUGACCCUCGCAAGCGCAUUGGGUUGGCCAUGUAGCCCGGUCCUUCCAAUUUUGGGGAGGUUCCGUUCAAUUUGUUAUCUUUUUUCUCUACCAUUUUUAAUGUUUCAUUUUCCAUUUAUUUUCUUAAUUCAUGAAUAUUUUUUAAAAUUAUGGACACAAUUUAAAUUCAGAUGUUUUUUCAAAUUAAGAAAUAUUUCUUCGAAACUGUGAACAAUUUUUAAAAUCCAUGAAGGGGUUUUCACAUUAAUGAAAAGAAAAUUACAAAAUUUUAAUUACAAAAACAUUGAUUAAAAUCCACGACCAUCUACAAAAAAAUCUUGAAAUUCUAAAACUCGUGAAGAAUUUUAUAGAAUUUGAGGUUAUUUUAUUCAUAUUUGUAAAGUAUUUAUAAUUUACAAACAUUGUUUUACUUUGUGAAUGUUUUUAAAAAAUUGUGAACAUCCACCAAGGAGCACCAACGGAUUUCCGCAUCUUCCAGACUACUCACCGGGGUGCUGUUGCUGUGCACAGAAAAAUAAUGGAGAAGCCCCGCCAACACCAAAGCAGGAGAGUACUCUAGAACACGGUAGGACCUUCAUGGGCUGAAAGUAGAAAGAAAAGGAAGCGCCCAGCCGAGCUGGAAAGCGAUAAAGUACCACCAAACGCCCGUCCACUGGAGAGACCUCGAGACGCUUCAAGAGCAUCACCUGCGACGCUAUAAGUACCGCCUCCCAUCGGCCUCCAUCCCAACUCAAAUCAGUGUCAAGCAAAAGCCAGCAGUAUCAUAUUCCUACCAACGAUCCGAUACAGAAUUUUCUGAGCUCACAACCCGAAGCAAUCAACACCAGCAAUGUCGAUCGUGCGGCGGAGCAACGUCUUCGACCCCUUCGCCGACCUCUGGGCGGACCCCUUCGACACCUUCCGCUCCAUCGUCCCGGCGAUCUCAGGUGGCAGCAGCGAGACGGCCGCGUUCGCCAAUGCUCGCAUGGACUGGAAGGAGACCCCCGAGGCGCACGUCUUCAAGGCCGACCUUCCAGGCGUGAAGAAGGAGGAGGUCAAGGUGGAGGUGGAGGACGGCAACGUGCUCGUCGUCAGCGGCGAGCGCACCAAGGAAAAGGAGGACAAGAACGACAAGUGGCACCGCGUGGAGCGCAGCAGCGGCAAGUUCGUCAGGCGGUUCCGGCUGCCGGAGGACGCCAAGGUGGAGGAGGUGAAGGCCGGGCUGGAGAACGGUGUGCUCACCGUCACCGUGCCCAAGGCCGAGGUCAAGAAGCCCGAGGUGAAGGCCAUCCAGAUCUCCGGCUGAGUGAAUGCGUCUCUGCGAAUGAUCAUCAGGGUUGGAGCCAGUUUGGUUAAUGUGUGCGAGUUCUGCAACCUGAAAGUAUGCUAUAGUUGUGUCUUCGUCUUGCCGAGUCUGAUGAGACAUCUCUGUAGUGCGUUUCUUUCCCCAGCCGUGUAUGUUCUUGUGUAAUCGCCAACAGAUUUGGCGAUGAAUAAAUGAAAAAUAAACCCUUCUGUUUUUAAGUGCAAUGCAGAUUUUGCAUACACAAAAUUUGACCCUUUUUUUCUUUGCUUGUAGUUCGGAUGGAAAGGAUCAGGAGAAAAAUGAUCUUUUUUUUCUCGUUUUCUGAGGUUGCUCGAAAUAUUCGUUGAGUGGCUAAAAAUGGCUGCCUCGCAAAUGGGAACUGUUAGAGUUAUAAUAUAGAUCAUGUACCCCUUUGUAUUUAUCCCGUUGUAUAAUGGGUUUCCUGCAUAUGU
Molecule: long non-coding RNA, 23429 nt
Filed under: Triticum aestivum (bread wheat)
Lineage: Eukaryota; Viridiplantae; Streptophyta; Magnoliopsida; Poales; Poaceae
Description: long non-coding RNA (TAES_LNC028409)
Source: RNAcentral